RNAcentral lists this ribosomal RNA (999 nucleotides) under Paramesotriton fuzhongensis (Wanggao warty newt). Its description in RNAcentral is "partial 16S ribosomal RNA". The stretch from base 157 to 999 matches the Rfam family "Bacterial large subunit ribosomal RNA", at positions 573 to 2037 of the family's 2925-position model. The record is from RNAcentral. Lineage: Eukaryota; Metazoa; Chordata; Amphibia; Caudata; Salamandridae.
CUAAAAUUCUAGCCAGUUAACCCUAACUACCAAAAAACAAAACAAACCAUUUAAUCUAAUAGUAUGGGCGAUAGAAAUUUAUUAUGCGCAAUAAAAAAGUACCGCAGGGGAAAGAUGAAAUAAAAAUGAAAUAAAUAAUAAAACAAAGAAAAGAAAAGACUAAACCCUAUACCUUUUGCAUAAUGGUCUAGUAAGUCCAACCUAACAAAAAGAAAUAAAGUUAGCCACCCCGAAACUAGACGAGCUACUCAAAAGCAGCAUUAACCAGGGCCAACCCCUCUCUGUGGCAAAAGAGUGGGACGACUUUUAAGUAGAGGUGAAAAGCCUAACGAGCCUAGUGAUAGCUGGUUGCUUGAGAAAUGAAUAUUAGUUCAGCUUAAAGUACUUUCAACUAAUGAAAAAAUAAAAAUAGCACUUUAAAGUUAAUUAAUAGGGGUACAGCCCUAUUAAUAAAGGACACAACCUACAUAAUGAAUAAAGAUUAUAUUAACAAAAGAAACUAACCAUGUAGGCCUAAAAGCAGCCACCAUAAGAAAGCGUCAAAGCUCAACUUAACUAAUCCCCUUAUUAUACCAAUAAAAAAAUCUAAAUUCACAAAUAUAUCAAGCCUAUCUACUAGUAGAUGAGUUUAUACUAGAAUGAGUAACAAGAACAAAUUCUAUACAUGCAAGCGUAAAUCAGGGCGAAAAAAUCACUGAUAAUUAACAAUUUUAAAUACUAAACAACAAGAAAGGCACAUUAAAGUAAUUGUUAACCCAACACAGGAGCAUCAAAAAAGAUUUAAAGAUUAAAAAGGAACUCGGCAACCAAGAGCUCCGCCUGUUUACCAAAAACAUCGCCUCUUGCCCUCCAAGUAUAAGAGGUCCCGCCUGCCCAGUGAUUAAUUUUAACGGCCGCGGUAUCAUGACCGUGCAAAGGUAGCGUAAUCACUUGUCUUUUAAAUAAAGACCUGUAUGAAAGGCAAAACGAAAGCUCAACUGUCUCUUUAAUCUAAUCAGU